Molecule: long non-coding RNA, 1549 nt
Organism: Arabidopsis lyrata subsp. lyrata
Lineage: Eukaryota; Viridiplantae; Streptophyta; Magnoliopsida; Brassicales; Brassicaceae
Exons: 3
Source: RefSeq, a predicted model, not a curated record
GUACGACGACCCAAUAACCUGUCUCCACUAACCGUCUCAAGUACUGUCGAGUGUCGAAGCCCUUUGGGCACUUGCAAAGCCCAACAAUUGCUCACCCCACUAGCCGUUAUUACGUCAACGAAUUUUUUCAACGUUCGAAAAACAAUAUUUCCUUUUUUCAGGGGUAUUUAGGAAAUUUCGUCUCUCUCAGCCGAGUUUUCCUUUUUUCCGAGGGGUAUUUACGUAAUUUUGAUUCUCUCACGGCAAAGUUUUCCUUUUUUCUUUCUCCCGUAACAAAGCUUUCCCUUUUUUUAGGUUUCCAUUCGAAGUUCACAAUAUUGUUUAUAAAUAUAAUUCGAGAGUCAGAGAUUCAUUCGAUAGCACUUUCCUCUCUUUUCUCAUAUCAGAAAAACGUUCUUUGUUCUCUCUUCUCUUUCUUCUACCCAGAUCAGUCGUGAAUUUUAUUCUACUCUUUCAUUAAGUUUACUUUGUUUGAUUCAUGAAACAAAACAAAUAAUCGAUUUUCGCUUUUUGGGGAUGACGAAUUGACGAUCAGAAGCAAAAGUACAGGUUUUCGUAAAGAGAUCAAACCAACUUGCACCGACUUCAACACUCUGUUCGAUCAAAAGAUGUUGUUGCAACUUCGGAGCUUUUCAUCUAUGGUCUCGUUGACGUGAGAGACACGGAUUGCCCCACACAAUUAGCAAUCAUUGAAACUCAUUGGACACUACAAAGCCCAACAAAGAAAGAAUUUCAGCCCAAUACAAAGCUUGUAAAUGCAUCCCAUUCGGCCAGCAAAAUAAAUUCAUCCAUUUAAGCUAGGAACGGACGGUUUUCUACAGGAGAAAACCAGUCCGGAGUUGAGGAGCUUACAUAACAAAGAUAGAAUCACGUGCCCUUGCCUUCUUAGCAAGACAGUCGGCACGGACAUUGUUUAAACGUGGAAUAAAAUCUAAGGAAAAAUGAGGGAAACCAAGUUUUAAAGCGUUGAAAUCUUCUAACUUUUGUCCAAUAGCUGGGUCAGCUCCUUGCAAUCUGUCUCAAAGGCAACAUUAAAAAUAGAUAAUGAUGUGAGGGAUCUCAAUGCCCAGAGAAGUGCUUCAAACUCUGUGUGAAGAGGAGAUAAACACUGUCGAAAACACUUGAGCCCAAGAUUAAUAAGCUGAGAGUCUGAGAUAAGAAUCCAUCCAAUUCCACAUAAGGAGUCUCCGUCUGUCCAAGAACCAUCAACUUGGCAAGUCAAAAGAUCUGAAUCAGUGGAUCGCGAACCUGGGUCUAUGAGGGGCGGUUGAGAAUCAAUGAACGACUCUCUGGCUCUCGCGAUGCGAAAAGAUUCUGCUUCAUCGCAGGCAUGUUUCAUCCAAUAAAUAAAUCUCACUAAAAAAAUUUAAAAAUUAGUUUAUGUUUUACAUUUUAAACACGUCGGAAACUAAUUUAUAAAACUCGGGGAAGUGCAAUUAAACUAAUUUAUAAAACUAAAACUCAAAAAAAUUAGUUCAACAUGUUUUCGACGUAUUUAAAUUUAGCACUUAGUUAUGUUUUAAACGGUUUUCAAAAAUAAUGUUUUAAU